This 253-nucleotide ribosomal RNA is filed under the name uncultured bacterium. RNAcentral's name for it is "partial 16S ribosomal RNA". It matches the Rfam family "Bacterial small subunit ribosomal RNA", at positions 524 to 776 of the family's 1533-position model. The record is from RNAcentral.
UACGAAGGGGGCUAGCGUUGCUCGGAAUCACUGGGCGUAAAGCGCACGUAGGCGGCUUUCUAAGUCAGGGGUGAAAUCCUGGAGCUCAACUCCAGAACUGCCUUUGAUACUGGAGAGCUUGAGUCCGGAAGAGGUGAGUGGAACUCCGAGUGUAGAGGUGAAAUGCGCAGAUAUCAGGAGGAACACCAAUGGCGAAGGCAGCUCGCUGGGACGGUACUGACGCUGAGGUGCGAAAGCGUGGGGAGCAAACAGG